CGGCAUCUCAUGUAUUACACACCCCGUCUUCGGACCGGCUGCUCGUUACUCGUGUGUUGAUUUGAGGGGCACAUAUUGGACUCACCUCUGGAGAUUUUAGGUUCCUUUUCAAAACAAUGUAUCCAGGUGUAGAGAGCAAAAUGGAGUCUCUCAUGUCAAGCAGGAGCCUGUGUCAAGCAAUGACCGCAAGCAGUUAAGGUACUGCAGCUAGAAGAUACCACCCAGACCAACCUCAGCUGACACCCCAGAACUGAUAACGUGUAGAACCAGAGGAGGUCUGCAGAGACCCAAAACUGAUUAAAUCCCUUUAAAAAGGGAAGGAUUUUGGCAGGAAACGGUCAGACUUUUCAGACCUGAUCCCUCUAUGUCUGACCAUUUUAAAAAGGCAACUGCCCCUGAAGGCUGAUCCCUGAACAGAACGGAGAUCCUUCACUGCCUGAACAUCAGAAGCAAUAAGUGUCAAGAGCUGACCCGG
Long non-coding RNA from Neomonachus schauinslandi (Hawaiian monk seal), 475 nucleotides. RefSeq lists it as uncharacterized. The record is from RefSeq and is a predicted model, not a curated record. The transcript has 3 exons. NCBI's taxonomy places the organism in Eukaryota, Metazoa, Chordata, Mammalia, Carnivora, Phocidae.